GAUGAACGCUGGCGGCGUGCCUAAUACAUGCAAGUCGAGCGAACAGACGAGGAGCUUGCUCCUCUGACGUUAGCGGCGGACGGGUGAGUAACACGUGGAUAACCUACCUAUCAGACUGGGAUAACUUCGGGAAACCGGCGCUAAUACCGGAUAAUAUAUUGAACCGCAGGGUUCAAUAGUGAAAGACGGUUUUGCGGUCACUUAUAGAUGGAUCCCCGCCGCAUUAGCUAGUUGGUAAGGUAACGGCUUACCAAGGCAACGAUGCGUAACCGACGUCAUAGGCUGGUCGGCCACACUGGAGCUGAGACACGGUCCAUGCUCCUACGGGAGGCAGCAGUAGGGAAUCUUACGCAAUGGGCGAAAGCCUGGCGGAGCAACGCGGCGUGAGUGAUGAAGGUCUUCGGAUCGUAAAACUCUGUUAUUAGGGAAGAACAAAUGUGUAAGUAACUAUGCACGUAUUGACGGUACCUAAUCAGAAAGCCACGGCUAACUACGUG
Molecule: ribosomal RNA, 497 nt
Filed under: uncultured bacterium
Lineage: Bacteria
Description: partial 16S ribosomal RNA
Rfam family: Bacterial small subunit ribosomal RNA
Source: RNAcentral